This 8363-nucleotide long non-coding RNA is filed under the name Setaria italica (foxtail millet). Its description in RNAcentral is "long non-coding RNA (SITA_LNC004703)". Lineage: Eukaryota; Viridiplantae; Streptophyta; Magnoliopsida; Poales; Poaceae. The record is from RNAcentral.
UUUCGUCGUGGAAGGUAGAUACAGACUGCUGCACCUGGGAAGGUGUAACAUGUGAAGGCACGUCGGGCUAUGUUACUUCUCUCGACCUGUCCUACCUCUGCAUCUCCGGUAAUCUCAGCUCACCGGACAUCUUUAAACUUACCUCGCUUCGCUCCCUUUACCUUUCUUACAACAAUUUUGAUGGAAGUCCAUGGCCAAGCUCCGGAUUGGAGCAGCUCACGAAUCUCAGGUACCUUGACCUCUCUUAUUCUGGCUUGUCUGGGAAUGUGCCCGUCGAGAAAGGCCAACUUUCCAAUUUAGUCACUUUAUACCUCUCUGGCCUUGAUCUAAAAUAUUUGAGCCUUAAGAUUUUGAUUGACAACCUUGUGGGUCUCCAAAAUCUAUAUCUUGAUGAGGUCAAUAUUUCAGUGAGUCCAACCGAUUUGGCACAUGGCUCUUCUACAAAUACAACGACAGGUCUCAAAGAGCUAAGAAUCAGGUGGUGGACGAUCACCGGUGGCCGUUCUGAUACUGUUCUUACUAAUCUCCUACUUCAUCCUAAGCUUGCCAAUUUAGUCACGCUAGAACUCUAUUAUUUGGAUCUUAAAAGUUCGAGCCUUCACACCUUGAUUGACAACCUUGGCAACCUCCAAAAACUAUAUCUUGAUUCUGUCAACAUUUCGGUCAGUCCAACCGAUCUGGCGCAUGCCUCCUCUACCAAUAAGAUGCCAGGUCUCGAAGAGCUAAGCAUGACAGGGUGCAUGAUCACUGGCCGUAUUGAUAUUGCUCUUACUAAGUUCCGAUUUCUAUCCAAGUUGACCCUUGAUGGCACACAUUUUAGUGGCCCUGCUCCUGUGCCAAAACGUUUUGUGGAGUUCUCAUCGCUCGCAGUUCUUAGUCUUCAAAACUGUGGGUUGACCCGGACGACCUUCCCUUCUUGGAUAUUUCAUAUCAAAAGCUUGAUGUCUCUCGAUGCAUCAGGGAAUGAAAAUCUAUGUGGAGAGUUGCCGGAGUUCAUACAGGGUAGCGCGUUGCAGGUUUUGAUCUUUAGUGGAACCAAGUUGUCAGGAAGAAUAACAGAAUCUAUCGGCAACCUCCGAAAUCUGACUAUGUUGGACCUUUCUUAUUGCCAAUUCCAUGGCCCUAUCCCACCAUUUGCUCAAUGGCCAAAAAUUGAGAUGGUUCAACUGUCAAGUAACAACUUAAAUGGUUCAUUACCUACAGAUGGCUACCUUUCUCUACACAACCUAACUUCAGUUUAUCUUCGUAACAACUUGAUAAGUGGUGUGAUACCUGCAUCUCUGUUUUCUCAUCCUUCUUUGAUGGAUUUAGAUCUCUCACAAAACAAUUUCACUGGAAAUUUUCUAUUGUAUCCAACUGUAUCUUCUAGUUUGAGAAGUAUCGAUCUUAGUUUUAACAAAUUACAAGGACCUCUUCCAAAACUUCUGUCGAAGUUUGUUGAACUAGAAUGGUUGGAUGUUUCGUCAAACAAUCUCACUGGAUCUGUGGAUCUAAGUUUCAUAAAGAAUUACGAGAUGCCCUCACUAUCACUAUCCCAUAAUAAGUUGUCUGUUGUCGAGGAGGAUGUCAAUCACUCCUACUUUGAAUAUCCAGCUAUUGGUAGAUUGGGAUUGGCAUCAUGUAACCUAUCAUCUGUACCUAAAUUUUUAAUGCACCAGAGAAGCAUUUCCGAUUUAGACCUCUCAAACAACAACAUUGGUGGACACAUACCUGAUUGGAUAUGGGGAAUGGGAGUUCUUAGCCUUAACCUCUCUCAUAAUUUAUUUACCAGCAUUAAUACAAAUUUAUCGAAUACAUCAAUUUCUGAUCUUGAUCUCCAUUCCAACAAGAUUGAGGGAGCUCUCCCACUACCCCCAUCGGGAACUGACCGAUUGGACUACUCCAAUAACCACUUCAAUUCUUCUAUCAUGCCUGAGUUUUGGUCACAUGUUAGCUCCACCAACUCCCUGUCAUAUAGAAGUUCUGGACCUUUCUUUUAACAACUUCAGUGGAUUAAUACCACCCUGUUUGUUGAAGCGAAACAAGCAUCUUGAGAUACUGAACUUGAGAGGUAAUAAUUUCCAUGGAUCAUUGCCUCAAUAUAUCACCGAGGAAUGUGCACUUCAAAUAAUAGAUUUCAACGGCAACAAGUUGGAGGGAAAAUUGCCGGUAUCUAUUAUCAACUGUCACUUGCUACAAGUCCUAGAUCUUGGAAACAACCUCAUAGUGGAUACAUAUCCAGAGUGGCUAGGAGUUCUGCCUUUGUUGAAAGUGUUGGUUCUGAAGUCAAACGGGUUUCAUGGUCCCAUUGAUUACUACCGGAUGAACAAACAGACGCAUACCUUGUUCCCAGAGCUGCAGGUUCUGGACCUUUCUUCAAAUUCUUUUAAUGGUAGCAUACCUGCACGAUUCCUCAAGCAGUUCAAAGCUAUGAUGGUGGUUUCUUCUGGAGCUCCGAGCAUGUAUGUUGGAAUUAUUGAAUCAUCAUCAGCAGCAGCAUCUCCAAGCUCUCAUCGAAACUAUAAGGAGUCGAUCACCGUCACGCUCAAGGGGCAACAAACAACUCUGGUACAGAUACUUUCAGUCUUCAUGUACAUCGACCUCUCCAACAACAACUUCGAGGGUGUCAUCCCUAACGAGAUCGGCGAUCUGAAGCUUCUCAAGCAGCUCAACCUGUCCAGGAACUCCUUCACUGGCGUGAUCCCUCCUCGGAUAGCGAACAUGCUGCAGCUGGAGUCCUUGGACCUCUCCUACAACCAGCUCUCUGGGGAGAUUCCUCCUGCAAUGACCGCAAUGUCAUUCCUCGAGGUUCUCAACCUCUCGUACAACCACCUGUCAGGGCAGAUACCGCAGUCCAGCCAGUUCUUGACGUUCCCGACCACAUCAUUUUUGGGGAACGACGGGCUGUGCGGGAAGCCGCUGAGACGCUUGUGUGACAUCAACCACGCACCAUCAGCUCCUGCUACGUCGGGCUCUUCUAAGGAGCUGAACUGGGAAAUUUUGUCAGUUGAGGUAGGGGUCAUUUCAGGCUUGGCCAUCGUGGUUGCGACCAUGCUGCUGUGGGGCAACGGGAGGAGGUGGGUCUACUUCCAUGUCGACAAGUUUUGGCUGCUUGUUCUGCAGCCGUGGAUCUGCCGCCGUCGAUGCUGAAAUGAGUUGUUCGUGUUUUUAUACCUUAAAUGAUAUGUGCAAGAAAAUGAGCUGGCAUUACGCCCUGCUUUCUCUGGACAGCAUUGUAGCAUGUAUACUUCAAGUUCCGUGAAUAAAUUUAUGUGGUGCUGAUGUGCUGCUGUAUGUUUGGGCGUUUGGCUACUAACUUUUUUCCAGAGAUGAAAUUUAGUUGAGGAUCCCAUAUGAAACUUUCAUAUCUACUCCUAUACUAUAUGAUGUUUAUUAGAUAUGAUUUAUUAAGCAAUGAAACUCUGCUUUGCUAAGAAAUACAACAGAAGUAGAAAACAAAAACUGCUGAAAAGCAACAAAGCUUACCUUUCUACUCCCUCCGUUCCAAAUUAUAGGUCGUUUUGGCUUUUCUAGAUACAUAGAUAUUAUUAUGCAUCUAGACAUAGGGUAUAUCUAAGUGCAUAACAAAAUUUAUGAAUCUAAUAAAGUCAAAACGACCUAUAAUUUGGGACGGAGGGAGUAAUUUACUAGAUGAACAACAUAGCAUAUACGCAGUUAAUGAUUGGGCACUACUCCGUGCUAAUCCUGAACAACAUUUAUUAUGUAUGUUUCUUUUGAGUUUGACGAAAACUAUGUGAUGCGCUACUCUUUGUGAUAUUUCGAUGCUAUUUUGUUGCAAAGAACAAAGUGAGUGAAUUGAGGGCCUGAUCUAAAAUUUUGAUAUCAUCUACGCUGUAUAAUGUCUCAUUGAUUUGUUAAGAAAUGAAAAUAUAUUUUUCAAGGAAGAAGAUUAGAAGAAACGUUGAAACUGUAUUAUAAAACAGAACUGCUGAAAUAAGGAGUUAAUACUGAAAGGGAAAUAUAGUCAUGAACUGCUUUCCUAUGAACUACUGAGAACAUCUUAAGUUAUUGCAGCAUCAAUCUUAGCUAAAUACAAAGUCAUGUGGCAAAAUAGUCCCUAAAGAUCUAUUACAAGAAUUCCAAUUCUUUGACAUACUUAAUUACCUCUUUUGCAACAUCACGUCAACUGAGUGUAGGUGCAUAUUACCAAAUAUUUUUUCCUUUCAGUUUCCUUGCCUUCUCACGCUAAACCUGAAAUGUUCUAUUGGUUGCUUGUUGCCUUGUUCCAAUGAAAUGAUUCAUGUAGGCUGGUCUACAGGUACAUUUGUUUUGGCAGAGGCUGCAUAUCCAUAAUGAGGCUGAAUUCUAGUUCUUGUCAACCUGUGGCACAACCUUUUUCAAACAUAUCUGUUUCCUGAAAUUCAGAAGUGAUUGAUUUCUAUCCACAAAGUUGUGCCUAGUAUGUGUACAGCUUCAUCAUUUUACCGGUGCUGGUGAUCAGCAAAGUGCUCCUUCAGAGACGGAGAUAAUUAAUUCAAUCGGCAUGUUCAAAUGGGAGAGAUCAAGCGGAUUGAAUACAAACCUAUCACCGGUCACCAUGCCAGAAGACAACAACCUCCUCGAGGUUUUUGACUUGUCAAUCCAUGGAGGUCAAUACCAUUUAUCGAUCUAGUGACCGUGUUCUGGACAUCGGACUGCGUUCCCGAACAGGGGCGGUGCCACUGCUAUGGCGGGGGCAACGUGGUCAGCUGAAGCCACACACGGGUGCCCAGGGGGCAGCAUGCUUCAGUCUGCCCAGCCAAUUCGGCUGCGAUGAUCACACGGCAAACGUUCUGGUUCAGGAAUUCCAGACGGAGCACGUUUACCGAUUAUCGUCAUCUGCGCCUAAAAUCCCCAAACUACCGUCGUCACUUUCUUCAACACCAUAACUUAAUUAAAUCUCUAGGUAAUCAAUCAAACAUUCCCUGUUACAAGUUCGAUGUACUUAUUUGUUUGGAUAAUUGUGGCAGGACUAGGAACUUGAUUUUGUCAAUUUAGUUGAUAACGCAUUGAAACCAACCAAUUUAGUGGAUAAUUGUUGGCCACUACCGGUCCUGCCUAAGUGCCUGCGCUGUUGACGUCGUAGCUUGACCUGGCGCUGACUGUGGAGGCCAUGCGCGAACGGAUCCCUGCAAAGGCAAGGUGCGACAGGGGAUGGUCGGAUGGAGGGGCGCGGCCGGAACUUUGGCGGGUGGAGGCGGGCGAGCUGAGGAUAGGAAGAUGGGAGCGGGGAAGAAAAGAAAGUGGCUAUCCACCGACUUGUGGGCUCCAUUCAUCAAUGUGAUGUAGCAAAAAAUUAGGUCAAGCAGUACAGGUAAACUACUGGAGAAGACCUCCUUUGCAUACCUAAAUUUUCCUCUCUCCUAUACCUAUAAGUGGUUUUAGGUAUUCAAAUAUACCAAUGCUGCUGGAGAUUCUCGUAGGCCUCUACUAAAUAUGCUAGCUAAAUUUUCCCACGUAAAAUCCACCUCAUCUUAUUUUCAAAGAGAGAUGAGGUAGUCAUUAAUAAAGAGAGUAUCUCAAGCACACAUUAUGGGCAAACAAUUACAUUUCUUUAUUAUGGGAUCCACUUUUAAUUUUGAUUAAUGUGUAAAAGUCAAGACGGUAGAAGUGAUCUCUUGUGCUAAUUUUUAUUAAGCUGAAUAUGGCAUGUAUACUUUAAAGCUAAUGUACUAGGUCAACUGUUGGAGGAGGUCUUAGACUUGGAGUGCUCCUUGGACCAUGUGUCCCAGUGUGGUUUCGGAAGCUCUGGAGUCUGUCUAGAGCACUUGGUCUGCCUCAUCAGUGGUUGGGUGUUUGGCUCCCAUGUGCUAAACUUUAGCACCCAUCACAUCGGAUGUUUGGAUACUAAUUAGGAGUAUUAAAUAUAGUCUAAUUACAAAAGUAAUUACACAGAUGGAGUCUAAUUCGUGGGACGAAUCUAUUAAGUCUAAUUAGUCCAUGAUUUGACAAUGUGGUGCUACAGUAACCAUGUGCUAAUGGUGGAUUAACUAGGCUUAAUAGAUUCGUCUCGUGAAUUAGCCUAGGAUUCUGCAAUUAGUUUUAUAAUUAGCUCAUGUUUAGUCCUCCUAAUUAGUAUCCAAAUAUCCGAUGUGACUCUGCUAAAGUUUAACAUCUCGUAUCCAAACACAAGGGUAUAGCGCCGCUCCGAUGCACCAUCGCUAAGGUCAUGAAUGUCUUGCCAUUCUCACCGACUUGUUGCUGCUGUAAACAGUUAAGGAGUGCCCCAGUUAUAUUUAUAUGGUCAUGACUCACGGCAGCCUCUAUCUCACCGACGUUUUGUGCAGCUACUUUUUCAAAAAUGUGCUUGAGCAUGUAUGUCAUUAAGAAGAGCAAGAGUGUUCUUUUAGUUUUGUCUUACGUCAAAUCAUCUUAAGUUUAACCAAGUCAAAUCAUCCAUGCGAAAAAACAUUCGAUGUUCGAUCUCUAGUCGACUAAUUGAGUGUUGCUUUCUUUUUGGGUGGAUGGAGUACAAAACAGCCAUAUCUGUCAAGUGUUUUAAAUCUUAGACCACUCGUUGCUAUCAAUUUGACAAUGUUUCGUUACAAGCCAUACAGUACCAAUUUGUUCCACAAGGUGGAAAAAACAAAUCACUCGCCACAUAAAAGCAUGGAAAUAUUCAUCAACAAACCACCGUGUAAGACGACAUCGCGAAAAUGCCAAGCAUAUCCAUACAUGGUCAUGGAAAAGAUAAAUUCAUACAAGGUAACUAAUAAUUAGGUGUUCCAAACUUUCUUUUUACGAGGGCGUCCAAACCUUUUGAUGAACGAAGCAUCUCCUUGCAGUGGAUGAUGGCUUGCUCACCGCAAGAUCUGCAAGUUGUCAUGCUUUGGUAAACCCUUAAAUUCCUAGAAUUGACCAUUGUUGGCCAGGUAGUGAUGGAAAUGUAGGUCGUGUUCCGUGUAGAAUAGGGUAGAGAAGUCUCUAGAGAAUUAAGUCGGUGAUGUUGAAAUUGCUGUCACGCCAAACCACAAUGUAAGACAUGCCACCGUGUAAGACAAGAAUGUCAAAAUUCAUCAAGAGACUUUAUCUACGACAAACCACCGUGUAAGACAUGCCAAAAAUGCAGGGCCCGGUGGCCCACCAAUAGUGUGGCAGCAUACCCAUGUAUAUAUGGUCCUGGAAAGGUUAAAUUCAUAUAGUUUAGGUGUUCCAACCCCCUUUAUUUUUUGCGAGAACGCCCAAAUUUUUUGAUGAACGAAGCAUCUCCUGGAAGUGGAUGGUCCGCCUCGCCACAAGGUCUGCAAGUUGUCGUGCUUUGGUAACCCCUUAAAUUCCUAGAAUUGACCACUGUUGACCAGGUAGUGAUGGAAAUGUAGAUCAGUGUUCCGUGUAGAAUAGGGUAGAGAAGUCUCUGGAGAAUUAAUUCGGUGAUGGUGAAAUUGCUGUCGCGCCAAUGUGUAUUAUUGUAGCAUGCUGCGAGCCCUUUAAUCCGUCAUCGAUCAUUGACUCAAUUAUGUUAUUCACUUAGACUAGCUAUGCCGGUACGUCUUGCUAAAGGCUACAUUUCCAUUUGGCGAUUUCUCCGCUGAUGCUGAUUAUAUUGUUAGCCAUAGUACUAGACCAUACUUUUACAAAAUUAUAUUUCUAAUUUCCUACGAUAUACUAGUAUACUCUGAUGACAACCAUCCUGUGUAACGGUGAAAAGUACAAUCAUAGUUAAAAAAGGAAUUAGAAAAAAAGAGUGCGCAUUUCUAAUAACUAUAUAUUCAUAUUACUCUACUUUUUACAAGUGUUGGUCCCUCACCGUCGACUCGAAGUCUUGGUCCUCGCCUAAGUCAUCCAUCUACAGCCUAUUUAAAAGUUGCUUCCAAACCUAGCUCUUGCACUAUCAUAACUCAUAACAAGCACCGAGCAUCUCUACUGAAAUUCCCACUAUCUUCAAACCAUGUUUCUUUGCCAUCCUCUUCCCAGCUACCUUCUCCUGCUCACCGUCAUCCUCGCUACCAGCAGGCAUGGAGCAAGCUUGUGCCACCAAGAUCAAAGUGCUACCCUGAUACGCCUCAAAGCUAGCUUCCACUUCGACGCCACGCCUUCAACUACUUGUCCGUGGUUUCCACCUGAAGAAACAAUUCUUUCGUCGUGGAAGGUAGAUACAGACUGCUGCACCUGGGAAGGUGUAACAUGUGACGGCACGUCGGGCUAUGUUACUUCUCUCGACCUGUCCUACCUCUGCAUCUCCGGUAAUCUCAGCUCACCGGACAUCUUUAAACUUACCUCGCUUCGCUCCCUUGACCUUUCUCACAACAAUUUUGAUGGAAGUCCAUGGCCAAGCCCCGGAUUGGAGCAGCUCACGAAUCUCAGGUACCUUAACCUCUCUUAUUCUGGCUUGUCUGGGAAUGUGCCCGUCGAGAAAGGCCAACUUUUCAAUUUAGUCACUUUAC